AGUGAACGCUGGCGGUAGGCCUAACACAUGCAAGUCGAACGGCAGCACAGUAAGAGCUUGCUCUUACGGGUGGCGAGUGGCGGACGGGUGAGGAAUACAUCGGAAUCUACUUUUUCGUGGGGGAUAACGUAGGGAAACUUACGCUAAUACCGCAUACGACCUACGGGUGAAAGCAGGGGAUCUUCGGACCUUGCGCGAUUGGAUGAGCCGAUGUCGGAUUAGCUAGUUGGCGGGGUAAAGGCCCACCAAGGCGACGAUCCGUAGCUGGUCUGAGAGGAUGAUCAGCCACACUGGAACUGAGACACGGACCAGACUCCUACGGGAGGCAGCAGUGGGGAAUAUUGGACAAUGGGCGCAAGCCUGAUCCAGCCAUACCGCGUGGGUGAAGAAGGCCUUCGGGUUGUAAAGCCCUUUUGUUGGGAAAGAAAAGCAGCAGGUUAAUACCCCGCUGUUCUGACGGUACCCAAAGAAUAAGCACCGGCUAACUUCGUG
Molecule: ribosomal RNA, 492 nt
Filed under: uncultured bacterium
Lineage: Bacteria
Description: partial 16S ribosomal RNA
Rfam family: Bacterial small subunit ribosomal RNA
Source: RNAcentral